UACGGGGGGAGCAAGCGUUGUUCGGAUUUACUGGGCGUAAAGGGCGCGUAGGCGGCCAGCACAAGUCAGUUGUGAAAUCUCCGAGCUUAACUCGGAAAGGUCAACUGAUACUGUGCGGCUAGAGUGAUGUAGGGGAGACUGGAAUUCCUGGUGUAGCGGUGAAAUGCGCAGAUAUCAGGAGGAACACCGAUGGCGAAGGCAGGUCUCUGGGCAUUAACUGACGCUGAGGCGCGAAAGCGUGGGGAGCAAACAGG
RNAcentral lists this ribosomal RNA (254 nucleotides) under uncultured bacterium. RNAcentral's name for it is "partial 16S ribosomal RNA". It matches the Rfam family "Bacterial small subunit ribosomal RNA", at positions 524 to 776 of the family's 1533-position model. The record is from RNAcentral.